UACAGAGGGGGCAAGCGUUAUUCGGAAUUAUUGGGCGUAAAGGGCUCGUAGGCGGCUUGUCGCGUCGGAUGUGAAAGCCCGGGGCUUAACUCCGGGUCUGCAUUCGAUACGGGCAGGCUAGAGUUCGGUAGGGGAGAUCGGAAUUCCUGGUGUAGCGGUGAAAUGCGCAGAUAUCAGGAGGAACACCGGUGGCGAAGGCGGAUCUCUGGGCCGAUACUGACGCUGAGGAGCGAAAGCGUGGGGAGCGAACAGG
Molecule: ribosomal RNA, 253 nt
Filed under: uncultured bacterium
Lineage: Bacteria
Description: partial 16S ribosomal RNA
Rfam family: Bacterial small subunit ribosomal RNA
Source: RNAcentral